UCCCAAUUUGUUUCCAGUUUUGUAAUCAGGAGGGUAAGAAAAUUUUUGAAUUUCUUAGUUGGGGG
Molecule: transfer RNA, 65 nt
Filed under: Bipalium vagum
Lineage: Eukaryota; Metazoa; Platyhelminthes; Tricladida; Geoplanidae
Description: tRNA-Thr
Source: RNAcentral